This 1458-nucleotide ribosomal RNA is filed under the name Lactiplantibacillus plantarum. Its description in RNAcentral is "bacterial SSU rRNA". It matches the Rfam family "Bacterial small subunit ribosomal RNA". Lineage: Bacteria; Bacillati; Bacillota; Bacilli; Lactobacillales; Lactobacillaceae. The record is from RNAcentral.
UGGGGUGCCCUAUACAUGCAAGUCGAACGAACUCUGGUAUUGAUUGGUGCUUGCAUCAUGAUUUACAUUUGAGUGAGUGGCGAACUGGUGAGUAACACGUGGGAAACCUGCCCAGAAGCGGGGGAUAACACCUGGAAACAGAUGCUAAUACCGCAUAACAACUUGGACCGCAUGGUCCGAGUUUGAAAGAUGGCUUCGGCUAUCACUUUUGGAUGGUCCCGCGGCGUAUUAGCUAGAUGGUGGGGUAACGGCUCACCAUGGCAAUGAUACGUAGCCGACCUGAGAGGGUAAUCGGCCACAUUGGGACUGAGACACGGCCCAAACUCCUACGGGAGGCAGCAGUAGGGAAUCUUCCACAAUGGACGAAAGUCUGAUGGAGCAACGCCGCGUGAGUGAAGAAGGGUUUCGGCUCGUAAAACUCUGUUGUUAAAGAAGAACAUAUCUGAGAGUAACUGUUCAGGUAUUGACGGUAUUUAACCAGAAAGCCACGGCUAACUACGUGCCAGCAGCCGCGGUAAUACGUAGGUGGCAAGCGUUGUCCGGAUUUAUUGGGCGUAAAGCGAGCGCAGGCGGUUUUUUAAGUCUGAUGUGAAAGCCUUCGGCUCAACCGAAGAAGUGCAUCGGAAACUGGGAAACUUGAGUGCAGAAGAGGACAGUGGAACUCCAUGUGUAGCGGUGAAAUGCGUAGAUAUAUGGAAGAACACCAGUGGCGAAGGCGGCUGUCUGGUCUGUAACUGACGCUGAGGCUCGAAAGUAUGGGUAGCAAACAGGAUUAGAUACCCUGGUAGUCCAUACCGUAAACGAUGAAUGCUAAGUGUUGGAGGGUUUCCGCCCUUCAGUGCUGCAGCUAACGCAUUAAGCAUUCCGCCUGGGGAGUACGGCCGCAAGGCUGAAACUCAAAGGAAUUGACGGGGGCCCGCACAAGCGGUGGAGCAUGUGGUUUAAUUCGAAGCUACGCGAAGAACCUUACCAGGUCUUGACAUACUAUGCAAAUCUAAGAGAUUAGACGUUCCCUUUGGGGACAUGGAUACAGGUGGUGCAUGGUUGUCGUCAGCUCGUGUCGUGAGAUGUUGGGUUAAGUCCCGCAACGAGCGCAACCCUUAUUAUCAGUUGCCAGCAUUAAGUUGGGCACUCUGGUGAGACUGCCGGUGACAAACCGGAGGAAGGUGGGGAUGACGUCAAAUCAUCAUGCCCCUUAUGACCUGGGCUACACACGUGCUACAAUGGAUGGUACAACGAGUUGCGAACUCGCGAGAGUAAGCUAAUCUCUUAAAGCCAUUCUCAGUUCGGAUUGUAGGCUGCAACUCGCCUACAUGAAGUCGGAAUCGCUAGUAAUCGCGGAUCAGCAUGCCGCGGUGAAUACGUUCCCGGGCCUUGUACACACCGCCCGUCACACCAUGAGAGUUUGUAACACCCAAAGUCGGUGGGGUAACCUUUUAGGAACCCAAGCCCCCGCCA